GGGGUUUACAUAUUAAGGGGAAGCAAGAAAGAAGGGAAAAAUGAACGGUGAAGGAAGGGGUUUUGGGUGUGGGACCUAUUGGAGGGAGUGGUUGACUGAAAGUGUUUGAUGGUAAUAAUAAUCAGACGCAGUGAUCGCUAUGCAAUGAAGUUGCAGGCCUAGCACUUGAGAGGGUCCAAAAUUUGACUUUGGGAUGUGUGAGUGACCUCCUACUGGCUUGGAAAUAAGGAGGGUCCAAUCGUUCCCAAGUUUCUGGUGCGAUGCAUAAGUGCGAGAGGAAUCAACACCCUAAGGUGAUUAGCAGCGGAGUUUUUGGACUCGGUUAACAUCCUCACAAAUUGCACUUAAAAAGGAAAGGUGGCAAGAUUCUCGAUUGUAAACUUUCUGUCGCUAGGAAAACAAUUUAUAAAUUUGCGUUGUUGAAAGGCUUGGUUCUCUAGGGAAUUGACCAGUAUGUGUUUGUGUUUUGAAGCGUGGAAGAGUUGAAAUAAAAGAAAAGUAAUAACGAAAAUGAGGAAAGUAUAAGGGGUGGGAAUUGUAGCAGAAUUGACCGGUGUAAGCGUGGACAGAUCAGUGGAGGGAGAUGGAGGGGUGUGGGAGGUGUGUGUGCCCUGAUUUAUUCUUUUCUUCACUUUUCG
Molecule: long non-coding RNA, 638 nt
Filed under: Phaseolus vulgaris (common bean)
Lineage: Eukaryota; Viridiplantae; Streptophyta; Magnoliopsida; Fabales; Fabaceae
Description: long non-coding RNA (PVUL_LNC004220)
Source: RNAcentral